RNAcentral lists this ribosomal RNA (497 nucleotides) under uncultured bacterium. RNAcentral's name for it is "partial 16S ribosomal RNA". It matches the Rfam family "Bacterial small subunit ribosomal RNA", at positions 28 to 507 of the family's 1533-position model. The record is from RNAcentral.
GACGAACGCUGGCGGCGUGCCUAAUACAUGCAAGUCGAGCGAACAGACGAGGAGCUUGCUCCUCUGACGUUAGCGGCGGACGGGUGAGUAACACGUGGAUAACCUACCUAUAAGACUGGGAUAACUUCGGGAAACCGGAGCUAAUACCGGAUAAUAUAUUGAACCGUAUGGUUCAAUAGUGAAAGACGGUAUUGCUGUCACUAAUAGAUGGAUCCGCGCCGCAUUAGUUAGUUGGUAAGGUAACGGCUUACCAAGGCAACGAUGGUAAGCCGACCUGAGAGGGUGAUCGGCCACACUGGAACUGAGAAACGGCCCAGACCCUUACGGGGGGAAGCGGUAGGGAAUCUUCCGGAAUGGGGGAAAGCCGGACGUAGCAACGCGGGGGGAGGAAUGAAGGUCUUCGGAUGGGAAAGCUCUGUUGUUAGGAAGGAAGUAAUGUGUAAGUAACUGCGCACGUCUUGACGGUACCUAAUCAGAAAGCCACGGCUAACUACGUG